Molecule: ribosomal RNA, 421 nt
Filed under: uncultured bacterium
Lineage: Bacteria
Description: partial 16S ribosomal RNA
Rfam family: Bacterial small subunit ribosomal RNA
Source: RNAcentral
AAUUUUGGACAAUGGGGGCAACCCUGAUCCAGCCAUGCCGCGUGUGUGAAGAAGGUCUUCGGAUUGUAAACACUUUAAGUUGGGGGGGAGGGCCUUAGGCUAAUUACCUGGAGGUUUGACGGUUCCAACAGAAUAAGCACCGGCUAACUCUGUUCCAGCAGCCGCGGUAAUACAGAGGGUGCAAGCGUUAAUCGGAAUUACUGGGCGUAAAGCGCGCGUAGGUGGUUCAGUAAGAUGGGUGUGAAAUCCCCGGGCUUAACCUGGGAACUGCUUUCAUAACUGCUGAGCUAGAGUACGGUAGAGGGUAGUGGAAUUUCCUGUGUAGCGGUGAAAUGCGUAGAUAUAGGAAGGAACACCAGUGGCGAAGGCGACUACCUGGACCGAUACUGACACUGAGGUGCGAAAGCGUGGGGAGCAAACA